Molecule: ribosomal RNA, 279 nt
Filed under: uncultured bacterium
Lineage: Bacteria
Description: partial 16S ribosomal RNA
Rfam family: Bacterial small subunit ribosomal RNA
Source: RNAcentral
UGCCAGCAGCCGCGGUAAUACAGAGGGUGCAAGCGUUAAUCGGAGUUACUGGGCGUAAAGCGCGCGUAGGCGGGUAUAAAAGUCAGAUGUGAAAUCCCUAGGCUCAACCUAGGAACUGCAUUCGAUACUAUAUACCUAGAGUAUGGUAGAGGGAAGUGGAAUUUCCGGUGUAGCGGUGAAAUGCAUAGAUAUCGGAAGGAACAUCAGUGGCGAAGGCGACUUCCUGGACCAAUACUGACGCUGAGGUGCGAAAGCAUGGGUAGCAAACAGGAUUAGAUA